Molecule: ribosomal RNA, 253 nt
Filed under: uncultured bacterium
Lineage: Bacteria
Description: partial 16S ribosomal RNA
Rfam family: Bacterial small subunit ribosomal RNA
Source: RNAcentral
UACGGAGGGUGCGCACGUUAAUCGGAAUCACUGGGCGUAAAGCGCGCGUAGGCGGUUCGUUAAGUGGGAUGUGAAAUCCCCGGGCUUAACCUGGGAAUUGCAUUUCAAACUGGCCGACUAGAGUACGGUAGAGGGAGGUAGAAUUUCCUGUGUAGCGGUGAAAUGCGUAGAUAUAGGAAGGAACACCUGCGGCGAAGGCGGGUUGCUGGGCUGACACUGACGCUGAUGCGCGAAAGCCAGGGGAGCGAACGGG